RNAcentral lists this ribosomal RNA (479 nucleotides) under Escherichia coli. Its description in RNAcentral is "partial 23S ribosomal RNA". It matches the Rfam family "Bacterial large subunit ribosomal RNA", at positions 1436 to 1900 of the family's 2925-position model. The record is from RNAcentral. Lineage: Bacteria; Pseudomonadati; Pseudomonadota; Gammaproteobacteria; Enterobacterales; Enterobacteriaceae.
UUCCUGUACUUGGUGUUACUGCGAAGGGGGGACGGAGAAGGCUAUGUUGGCCGGGCGACGGUUGUCCCGGUUUAAGCGUGUAGGCUGGUUUUCCAGGCAAAUCCGGAAAAUCAAGGCUGAGGCGUGAUGACGAGGCACUACGGUGCUGAAGCAACAAAUGCCCUGCUUCCAGGAAAAGCCUCUAAGCAUCAGGUAACAUCAAAUCGUACCCCAAACCGACACAGGUGGUCAGGUAGAGAAUACCAAGGCGCUUGAGAGAACUCGGGUGAAGGAACUAGGCAAAAUGGUGCCGUAACUUCGGGAGAAGGCACGCUGAUACGUAGGUGAAGCGACUUGCUCGUGGAGCUGAAAUCAGUCGAAGAUACCAGCUGGCUGCAACUGUUUAUUAAAAACACAGCACUGUGCAAACACGAAAGUGGACGUAUACGGUGUGACGCCUGCCCGGUGCCGGAAGGUUAAUUGAUGGGGUUAGCGGUAAC